RNAcentral lists this ribosomal RNA (255 nucleotides) under Klebsiella pneumoniae. Its description in RNAcentral is "partial 23S ribosomal RNA". It matches the Rfam family "Bacterial large subunit ribosomal RNA", at positions 1120 to 1374 of the family's 2925-position model. The record is from RNAcentral. Lineage: Bacteria; Pseudomonadati; Pseudomonadota; Gammaproteobacteria; Enterobacterales; Enterobacteriaceae.
CAUUUAAAGAAAGCGUAAUAGCUCACUGGUCGAGUCGGCCUGCGCGGAAGAUGUAACGGGGCUAAACCAUGCACCGAAGCUGCGGCAGCGACACUAUGUGUUGUUGGGUAGGGGAGCGUUCUGUAAGACUGCGAAGGUGUGCUGUGAGGCAUGCUGGAGGUAUCAGAAGUGCGAAUGCUGACAUAAGUAACGAUAAAGCGGGUGAAAAGCCCGCUCGCCGGAAGACCAAGGGUUCCUGUCCAACGUUAAUCGGGG